RNAcentral lists this ribosomal RNA (507 nucleotides) under uncultured Acaulospora. Its description in RNAcentral is "SSU rRNA". It matches the Rfam family "Eukaryotic small subunit ribosomal RNA", at positions 569 to 1078 of the family's 1831-position model. The record is from RNAcentral. Lineage: Eukaryota; Fungi; Glomeromycota; Glomeromycetes; Diversisporales; Acaulosporaceae.
AGCAGCCGCGGUAAUUCCAGCUCCAAUAGCGUAUAUUAAAGUUGUUGCAGUUAAAAAGCUCGUAGUUGAAUUUCGGGGUCUGUCCGUCGGUCGGGCUUCACGGUCCGUACUGGUGUGAUGGGUUCCUACCUUCUGAAUAACCGGCAUGCCAUUCAGUUGGUGCGCCGGGGAAGCAGAGCUAUUACCUUGAAAAAAUUAGAGUGCUUAAAGCAGGCUAGUGCUUGAAUAGAUUAGCAUGGAAUAAUAAAAUAGGACGGCAUGGUUCUAUUUUGUUGGUUUCUAGGAUCACCGUAAUGAUUAAUAGGGAUAGUUGGGGGCAUUAGUAUUCAAUUGUCAGAGGUGAAAUUCUUGGAUUUAUUGAAGACUAACUUCUGCGAAAGCAUUUGCCAAGGAUGUUUUCAUUAAUCAAGAACGAAAGUUAGGGGAUCGAAGACGAUCAGAUACCGUCGUAGUCUUAACCAUAAACUAUGCCGACUAGGGAUCGGACGAUGUUAAUUUAAUGACUCG